RNAcentral lists this non-coding RNA (25 nucleotides) under Cricetulus griseus (Chinese hamster). Lineage: Eukaryota; Metazoa; Chordata; Mammalia; Rodentia; Cricetidae. The record is from RNAcentral.
AGGAAUGGAAACGAUGGAUUUAUGG